Molecule: ribosomal RNA, 2899 nt
Filed under: Klebsiella pneumoniae
Lineage: Bacteria; Pseudomonadati; Pseudomonadota; Gammaproteobacteria; Enterobacterales; Enterobacteriaceae
Description: 23S ribosomal RNA
Rfam family: Bacterial large subunit ribosomal RNA
Source: RNAcentral
UUAAGCGACUAAGCGUACACGGUGGAUGCCCUGGCAGUCAGAGGCGAUGAAGGACGUGCUAAUCUGCGAAAAGCGUCGGUAAGGUGAUAUGAACCGUUAUAGCCGGCGAUGUCCGAAUGGGGAAACCCAGUGCAAUUCGUUGCACUAUCGUUAACUGAAUACAUAGGUUAACGAGGCGAACCGGGGGAACUGAAACAUCUAAGUACCCCGAGGAAAAGAAAUCAACCGAGAUUCCCCCAGUAGCGGCGAGCGAACGGGGAGCAGCCCAGAGUCUGAAUCAGCUUGUGUGUUAGUGGAACGGUCUGGAAAGUCCGACGGUACAGGGUGAUAGUCCCGUACACCAAAAUGCACAGGUUGUGAACUCGAAGAGUAGGGCGGGACACGUGGUAUCCUGUCUGAAUAUGGGGGGACCAUCCUCCAAGGCUAAAUACUCCUGACUGACCGAUAGUGAACCAGUACCGUGAGGGAAAGGCGAAAAGAACCCCGGCGAGGGGAGUGAAAAAGAACCUGAAACCGUGUACGUACAAGCAGUGGGAGCACCUUCGGGUGUGACUGCGUACCUUUUGUAUAAUGGGUCAGCGACUUAUAUUCUGUAGCAAGGUUAACCGUAUAGGGGAGCCGCAGGGAAACCGAGUCUUAACUGGGCGUUAAGUUGCAGGGUAUAGACCCGAAACCCGGUGAUCUAGCCAUGGGCAGGUUGAAGGUUGGGUAACACUAACUGGAGGACCGAACCGACUAAUGUUGAAAAAUUAGCGGAUGACUUGUGGCUGGGGGUGAAAGGCCAAUCAAACCGGGAGAUAGCUGGUUCUCCCCGAAAGCUAUUUAGGUAGCGCCUCGUGAACUCAUCUUCGGGGUAGAGCACUGUUUCGGCUAGGGGGUCAUCCCGACUUACCAACCCGAUGCAAACUACGAAUACCGAAGAAUGUUAUCACGGGAGACACACGGCGGGUGCUAACGUCCGUCGUGAAGAGGGAAACAACCCAGACCGCCAGCUAAGGUCCCAAAGUCAUGGUUAAGUGGGAAACGAUGUGGGAAGGCACAGACAGCCAGGAUGUUGGCUUAGAAGCAGCCAUCAUUUAAAGAAAGCGUAAUAGCUCACUGGUCGAGUCGGCCUGCGCGGAAGAUGUAACGGGGCUAAACCAUGCACCGAAGCUGCGGCAGCGACACUAUGUGUUGUUGGGUAGGGGAGCGUUCUGUAAGCCUGCGAAGGUGACCUGUGAGGGUUGCUGGAGGUAUCAGAAGUGCGAAUGCUGACAUAAGUAACGAUAAAGCGGGUGAAAAGCCCGCUCGCCGGAAGACCAAGGGUUCCUGUCCAACGUUAAUCGGGGCAGGGUGAGUCGACCCCUAAGGCGAGGCCGAAAGGCGUAGUCGAUGGGAAACAGGUUAAUAUUCCUGUACUUGGUGUUACUGCGAAGGGGGGACGGAGAAGGCUAUGUUAGCCGGGCGACGGUUGUCCCGGUUUAAGCAUGUAGGCUGGUUGUCCAGGCAAAUCCGGAUAAUCAAGGCUGAGGUGUGAUGACGAGGUACUACGGUGCUGAAGUAACAAAUGCCCUGCUUCCAGGAAAAGCCUCUAAGCAUCAGGUAACAUCAAAUCGUACCCCAAACCGACACAGGUGGUCAGGUAGAGAAUACCAAGGCGCUUGAGAGAACUCGGGUGAAGGAACUAGGCAAAAUGGUGCCGUAACUUCGGGAGAAGGCACGCUGGUGUGUAGGUGAAGUCCCUGCGGAUGGAGCUGAGACCAGUCGAAGAUACCAGCUGGCUGCAACUGUUUAUUAAAAACACAGCACUGUGCAAACACGAAAGUGGACGUAUACGGUGUGACGCCUGCCCGGUGCCGGAAGGUUAAUUGAUGGGGUUAUCCGUAAGGAGAAGCUCUUGAUCGAAGCCCCGGUAAACGGCGGCCGUAACUAUAACGGUCCUAAGGUAGCGAAAUUCCUUGUCGGGUAAGUUCCGACCUGCACGAAUGGCGUAAUGAUGGCCAGGCUGUCUCCACCCGAGACUCAGUGAAAUUGAACUCGCUGUGAAGAUGCAGUGUACCCGCGGCAAGACGGAAAGACCCCGUGAACCUUUACUAUAGCUUGACACUGAACAUUGAGCCUUGAUGUGUAGGAUAGGUGGGAGGCUUUGAAGCGUGGACGCCAGUCUGCGUGGAGCCAACCUUGAAAUACCACCCUUUAAUGUUUGAUGUUCUAACGUUGGCCCCUGACCGGGGUUGCGGACAGUGUCUGGUGGGUAGUUUGACUGGGGCGGUCUCCUCCCAAAGCGUAACGGAGGAGCACGAAGGUUAGCUAAUCCUGGUCGGACAUCAGGAGGUUAGUGCAAUGGCAUAAGCUAGCUUGACUGCGAGCGUGACGGCGCGAGCAGGUGCGAAAGCAGGUCAUAGUGAUCCGGUGGUUCUGAAUGGAAGGGCCAUCGCUCAACGGAUAAAAGGUACUCCGGGGAUAACAGGCUGAUACCGCCCAAGAGUUCAUAUCGACGGCGGUGUUUGGCACCUCGAUGUCGGCUCAUCACAUCCUGGGGCUGAAGUAGGUCCCAAGGGUAUGGCUGUUCGCCAUUUAAAGUGGUACGCGAGCUGGGUUUAGAACGUCGUGAGACAGUUCGGUCCCUAUCUGCCGUGGGCGCUGGAGAAUUGAGGGGGGCUGCUCCUAGUACGAGAGGACCGGAGUGGACGCAUCACUGGUGUUCGGGUUGUCAUGCCAAUGGCACUGCCCGGUAGCUAAAUGCGGAAGAGAUAAGUGCUGAAAGCAUCUAAGCACGAAACUUGCCCCGAGAUGAGUUCUCCCUGAGACUUUAAGUCUCCUGAAGGAACGUUGAAGACGACGACGUUGAUAGGCCGGGUGUGUAAGCGCAGCGAUGCGUUGAGCUAACCGGUACUAAUGAACCGUGAGGCUUAACCUU